This 240-nucleotide unclassified non-coding RNA is filed under the name soil metagenome. RNAcentral describes it as "partial contains 5.8S ribosomal RNA, internal transcribed spacer 2, and large subunit ribosomal RNA". The record is from RNAcentral.
AACGAGGCCGACCUGCGGCUGAGUUACCUGCGGAAGGAUCAUUACAGAGUUCAUGCCCUCACGGGUAGAUCUCCCACCCUUGAAUACUAUACCUUUGUUGCUUUGGCGGGCCGCUUUGGCUACUGGCUCUGGCUAGUAAGUGCCCGCCAAAGAACCCCAAAACUCUGAAUAUUAGUGUCGUCUGAGUACUAUAUAAUAGUUAAAACUUUCAGCAACGGAUCUCAGAUCGGAAGAGCACAC